RNAcentral lists this ribosomal RNA (433 nucleotides) under uncultured bacterium. RNAcentral describes it as "partial 16S ribosomal RNA". It matches the Rfam family "Bacterial small subunit ribosomal RNA", at positions 29 to 507 of the family's 1533-position model. The record is from RNAcentral.
AACGAACGCUGGCGGCAUGCCUAACACAUGCAAGUCGAACGAGACCUUCGGGUCUAGUGGCGCACGGGUGCGUAACGCGUGGGAAUCUGCCCUUGGGUUCGGGAUAACAGUUGGAAACGACUGCUAAUACCGGAUGAUGACUUCGGUCCAAAGAUUUAUCGCCCAGGGAUGAGCCCGCGUCGGAUUAGCUAGUUGGUGAGGUAAGAGCUCACCAAGGCGACGAUCCGUAGCUGGUCUGAGAGGAUGAUCAGCCACACUGGGACUGAGACACGGCCCAGACUCCUACGGGAGGCAGCAGUGGGGAAUAUUGGACAAGGGGCGAAAGCCUGAUCCAGCAAGGCCGCGUGAGUGAUGAAGGCCUUAGGGUUGGAAAGCUCUUUUACCCGGGAUGAUAAUGACAGUACCGGGAGAAUAAGCCCCGGCUAACUCCGUG